CUCUAGUUAGGGAGUUAACGCCGGGAUGGAUAGGUCCCGCACCACGACAUUAAACCCUCGAUAUAGACUAUAGACAUUCAUCGAGGCGGUGUUCUGAACAUUGAGUGGACGUCGUUGGCGUCCGCGGCGUUUCUCGGCUUCGGUGUGGACGUUUUGCCUCAGCUUGUGACGGUUUUUUUUGGAGACAUGCUGUUAGGUUCAUGCUUGCUUUAUGUCUGGGGCUCAUGUAGGAGAAAAGCUUGCACUUCAUGAUAUUGUAAGCCAACAGUUGAGCUAAGAAUCCCCCCCCCCCCCCCCACACACACACACACACACACAUCUCUAUUUGUGUGUGUAUGUGUGUAUGCGCACAUGUCUUUUUAAUGUGAAUGUGGUUUUCUUUCUCUAUGUGUUAGCCCUGUAACAGACUGGUGACCUGUCCAGGGUCUGGGAUAUGUUGAACUGUUAAGCACUGUGGCACCUUCUGGUAGGCUACUUUCUGGCAACCUGAGUCACCUGGUUGAACUGCAUUCCAUCAUCUCUGACACCCACUCAGAGAUGAUGAAUGCUUCCGUGUAUCUAUUAAAAUUUUCCAUUAGUACACGUGUCAUUCUCACAACUGCUCCUAACCCAACUGCCCAAUUCUCUGGGUUAAUUUAAAUACCUAAAGAGCAGAAGAAAUGUUAGACUCAAAAUCAGUCAGAGCUGAAGAGCCUGUUUUAUUCAGGAAUCUGUAGUCAAGCUCGAGAGUCUCAGUUCAGCACUGUAACACAGCAGGCGUUUGCACUUCUUUUGUAUAAUACCUUAUAAGUAAAUGGUAAAUGGCCUGUAUUUGUAUAGCGCUUUACUAGUCACUAAGGACCCCAAAGCGCUUUACAUAUCCAGUCAUCCACCCAUUCACACACACAUUCACACACUGGUGAUGGCAGCUACAUUGUAGCCACAGCCACCCUGGGGCGCACUGACAGAGGCGAGGCUGCCGGACACUGGCACCACCGGGCCCUCUGACCACCACCAGUAGACAACGGGUGAAGUGUCUUGCCCAAGGACACAACGACCGAGACUGUCCAAGCCGGGGCUCGAACCGGCAACCUUCCAAUUACAAGGCGAACUCCCAACUCUUGAGCCACGAUCGCGCCCACAAGUGUCAUACUUGAAACGGAUCAGAAGUUUCUGGCACCACUUCAGCUCCUUCCACGGAGAAGAGCAUAAGAUGACGGUGAUGAUGAUCCUGAUGAAGGCCACAAACCUAAAUGUGUCACUCAAGCAGUAAAGUUUCUAAAUCAUUCAAAUGUUUCUCGAGCUCUAACUUUCUACUUCCCUAUUGCUUCAGGACUCUGUGUGUUGAUUUCAAUGACAGCUUAUUUAUUAAUAAGUAAUUAUUAAUAUUAUUGUUGAAAAAAACUCCAAAUUGAACAAGUUUCUGUUUGCUUAUUGUUUCAGGACUGUGUGUUGAUCUUACUGACAGCUUAUUUAUUAAUUAUUUAUUAAUAAGUAAUUAUUAAUAUUAUUGCUAAACAACUCCAAAUUUAAGAAAGAGGUAAGUUUAGUUUUACAGAAGAGAUGGUCUCACCUCUCUGUCAGGUGAAUAUCUACAAAUAUAUCUACAAAUAUAUCUAUAUCUACAAAACAAAUUACAUAUGUAUCUGAAGAUGACAAUCAGCAAUGCAGCCCGAUUUAAAAAGAUCAAUAUGAAAAUAAAAGAAUGAAUCUGAACUUUUAAUGUGACUCUUUCCUUACUUGUUUAAAAUGUCUGAAUGAUCAGUCAUUAUUGCUUUUUGUGAAACCUCAACACAGAAAAAGAAUAAAAACUAAAU
Astatotilapia calliptera (eastern happy) is the source of this 1796-nucleotide long non-coding RNA. NCBI's taxonomy places the organism in Eukaryota, Metazoa, Chordata, Actinopteri, Cichliformes, Cichlidae. The record is from Ensembl.